Molecule: long non-coding RNA, 215 nt
Filed under: Mytilus galloprovincialis (Mediterranean mussel)
Lineage: Eukaryota; Metazoa; Mollusca; Bivalvia; Mytilida; Mytilidae
Source: RNAcentral
AAAAAAAGUUUGUUUUCCAGUUUUUGGAGAAAAAAAUAAUUUGUUUUUGAUUCUGAGAAAAAAAAAUUGUUUGUUUCACCCUCAGCUGCCACUAUAUGUAAUGCUAAAAUUGAAAGAAAAAAAUUGUUUUCGACUUGUCGCGAAAAAAAAAGAUUGGUUUUCGCCGCAGGCGAAAAAAAAAAUUUGUCCAGAAAAAAAAACCAUAGCCCCCCCCA